Suricata suricatta (meerkat) is the source of this 647-nucleotide long non-coding RNA. RefSeq lists it as uncharacterized. Lineage: Eukaryota; Metazoa; Chordata; Mammalia; Carnivora; Herpestidae. The transcript is spliced from 4 exons. The record is from RefSeq and is a predicted model, not a curated record.
CGCUCACUCUCCAUGCGCGCGGGGACAGAGAAAACAUCCGCCGGAGGCCCGGCCGGGCGGCGCUCCAGCAGUGCCCGGCAGGUGCGCAAGGCGAGGAAGUGAGCGCAUUCCGGCCACCGCCGGGACCUAGCAGGUGUUUGGGGACAAUGACAGACUCAUCUACUCACAUGGAGGUCCUGCCGUCAUACAUAGAGCCCUAGUCUUGUCCGACUAUGGAUGUUCCUUUGGGCUUGUCUGUCUUGUGUGCAGGAGAGAAUCACAGUCAAGCAGGGAGAAGACUGGAAGGUGUUUUUGUUUUGUUUUGUUUUGUUUUGUUUUUUGUUUUUUGUGCUGCUUUUUGUUUUGCUGGAAUCCUGUAGAUCUGGAGGCAUGGUCUGGUGUGGAGCCAACCUGAAGAUUCAGAGUUAGCUGUGAAACCAGGACAAAAUCCCUUUUUACUAGACGUGUCAGGAGCUGGAAUUGGAGUUACCAUCCCUCUGCGUUGAAGAAGUCCUAAGGCUGCCAUUUCUACUGGACUUGGGGCAAGAGAUGUUGUUGUGGGGCUUCCCUUUGACAUGGAUUCCAGCUACAUGCUCCUCAAAGGUAAGGGCUGUAUUCACCUUUUCUUGUAUUCACCCCUACAGCUUGUGCCGGAGUUCAAUAAAGAA